RNAcentral lists this ribosomal RNA (898 nucleotides) under marine bacterium CS-34. RNAcentral describes it as "bacterial SSU rRNA". It matches the Rfam family "Bacterial small subunit ribosomal RNA", at positions 38 to 1003 of the family's 1533-position model. The record is from RNAcentral.
UGCGGCAGCCUACACAUGCAGUCGAGCGCACUCUUCGGAGUGAGCGGCGGACGGGUUAGUAACGCGUGGGAACGUACCUUUCGGUAAGGAAUAGCCUCUGGAAACGGAGAGUAAUACCUUAUACGCCCUUUGGGGGAAAGAUUUAUCGCCGAGGGAUCGGCCCGCGUUAGAUUAGAUAGUUGGUGGGGUAACGGCCUACCAAGUCUACGAUCUAUAGCUGGUUUUAGAGGAUGAUCAGCAACACUGGGACUGAGAUACGGCCCAGACUCCUACGGGAGGCAGCAGUGGGGAAUCUUGGACAAUGGGCGCAAGCCUGAUCCAGCCAUGCCGCGUGAGUGAUGAAGGCCUUAGGGUCGUAAAGCUCUUUCGCCAGGGAUGAUAAUGACAGUACCUGGUAAAGAAACCCCGGCUAACUCCGUGCCAGCAGCCGCGGUAAUACGGAGGGGGUUAGCGUUGUUCGGAAUUACUGGGCGUAAAGCGUACGUAGGCGGACCAUUAAGUUGGGGGUGAAAUCCCAGGGCUCAACCCUGGAACUGCCUCCAAAACUGCUGGUCUUGAGUUCGAGAGAGGUGAGUGGAAUUCCGAGUGUAGAGGUGAAAUUCGUAGAUAUUCGGAGGAACACCAGUGGCGAAGGCGGCUCACUGGCUCGAUACUGACGCUGAGGUACGAAAGUGUGGGAGCAAACAGGAUGAGAUACCCUGGUAGUCCACACCGUAAACGAUGAUGCCAGUCGUCAGGUAGCAUGCUAUUCGUGACCAACUAACGGAUUAAUCAUUCGCUUGGGAGUACGUCCGCAGAUAAACUCAAGAAUGACUGGACCGCACAACCGUGAGCCAUGUCUGAUCGAGCAACGCGCCGGACUAACACCUGACUUCGUUGCCUAUAUCGAGAAUGUAUG